RNAcentral lists this long non-coding RNA (840 nucleotides) under Marmota monax (woodchuck). The record is from RNAcentral. Lineage: Eukaryota; Metazoa; Chordata; Mammalia; Rodentia; Sciuridae.
CUCAAGCCUCCUGUGUGUAAACUCGCUGAAUUUCCACCUGCUUCUGCUUCCUUCUGGAAAGUCAGGUGCAGAGGUGCUCCAAAGAUUCAGGGAGAGGAUGAGUUGUGUCCAGAGCACUUGAUCUCCACUGAUUGGCUUUUUGGUGCUUUCUCUGGUUCAAGUCAACUGUUGAGUCCCAGGGAUACAGGAUAGAAAGGAGUCAACCCUCAGAUCCUUUGGGAGUAUUGGCAGGAUAAAAAUAAUAGCACUCUGAGAUCACCAUAAAGGAGAAGAAAUAUGGACCUGAGAGUUCAGAGGGGGCCUCUCCCAAGGCUGCCACAGGAACAGAUGAUUAUCUGUGGACAAAAAUGUUUGCUGUCAGCUGGGGGAGUAAAUUCUGUGUUGUAACUAAGGGGUGAUUUUCGGUCCUUUUGAAACUCAUGCCUUUUCUUCUUGCCUUAUUUCAAAAAAAUGUCUCAGAAGUAGAGAAAAGGAUAAGAUGAUUCUUUUCAGCUCUUCUCAGAAAAACUACCCAGUUUGCAGUGGUGACCCCAAUGAAUGGAUGCGCUUGUCCCUUCUCUCCCAUCCACCAAUCUCUCCAGGCAAGUCCACUCCAUCACAUUACAGAUAAGGACCCAAGGACGAGAAGGGGCACAUCUAGCCCAGGUGGACUCUGAGCUAUCUGGAACCUAUAGGUUGCCAUGUGAUUAAGACCACAGGAAGGACAUUCCCAGGCCUGCCCAUCAGAGGGAGAGGGCUGGAGCAUGGGGUAGGCAGAGGACAAGAGUCCAGCUCCACAUUAUGCCCCAUCACAACAGAGUCUGCAGCUUCGACCUGGCCUGUUUCCACCCACUCCUCAGG